RNAcentral lists this ribosomal RNA (253 nucleotides) under uncultured bacterium. Its description in RNAcentral is "partial 16S ribosomal RNA". It matches the Rfam family "Bacterial small subunit ribosomal RNA", at positions 524 to 776 of the family's 1533-position model. The record is from RNAcentral.
UACGUAGGUGACCAGCGUUGUCCGGAUUUACUGGGCGUAAAGAGCGCGCAGGCGGUCGUUCAAGUCGAGUGUGAAAGCCCCCGGCUCAACUGGGGAGGGUCACUCGAUACUGAUCGACUCGAAGGCAGAAGAGGGAAGCGGAAUUCCCGGUGUAGUGGUGAAAUGCGUAGAUAUCGGGAGGAACACCAGUGGCGAAGACGGCUUUCUGGUCUGCUCUUGACGCUGAGGCGCGAAAGCUAGGGUAGCAAACAGG